ACACACAUCACAACCUGUCGGUGAUGUGUGUGGUGCCAUCACCACAUACAGUUCAAUUGUUGGCUACCCUCACCACAUGCGGGGGUUUCCAGCGACCCCUUAGCAGCAUCCGGGCCCAUCGUGGAUGCCAUCCAUGUGUUUUGGACCAUCACAGAUGUAUUGGUUAUGCAAUUUUGAUGCAAAAUUGAACCUGAAAACCUGAUAAAAUGUGGAUUCCAGUGGAUAAAGCUCAAUGUGUGUGGCCUGGUAGAUACAGACGAUAUCACAUACCCAAGUGCAAUGAACCUUUUGGACUUGGAAUACAUCAUUUAUGGAAACAGAUGGAACCAAGGGUAGACAGUGGCCUCUGAGCUGUUUCUUUACUUAUUUCUGUACCUUAGUUGAAUUACAUUAUCAUAGUGAAAGUUGGUCAUGCAAUUUUGACGCGAAAUGGAACCUGAAAACCUGCUAAAAUGUGGAUACCAGUGGAUAAAGCUCAAUGUGUGUGGCUUGUACUCACAAGACAUUUACAGUGGGGUGUGCAGUUGAGAACAGUUCGCCAUCUACCCCUCAGUGCUCACCAGAAUUAUUCAAAGUGGAGCACUAUGCCAAUUUUAAGAAGCUGGCCAAAGAUGUCCUGGUAAGCAGCACAUUGUCAGUGCUGCGAGACAUACAAACAGCAAUGAAUGGGAGCAAUGAGGAUGAGGAGUUGGGCCAAUAUGUUGCAGCUGAGGUGAUUACAACUAAAAAUAGAAAAUUGAAGGCAGAGACAAAGUGCCUUAUCAUGGGUGCAAUUCAGAAAGUUACUGAUUGUUAAUUUUUAAAUAAAAGAUUGAAAAUUAAAAA
RNA transcript from Schistocerca americana (American grasshopper), 825 nucleotides. RefSeq lists it as uncharacterized. The record is from RefSeq and is a predicted model, not a curated record. The transcript is spliced from 5 exons. NCBI's taxonomy places the organism in Eukaryota, Metazoa, Arthropoda, Insecta, Orthoptera, Acrididae.